UUUGAAAUUGAAAUUCAAACCUAAAUCAAUCUCUGCUCUCUCUCCCUGAACCGCCUCAUUCAUCUCCUUUUUCAAUCAAAACCCUAAUUCCCCCCCCCCCCUCUCUCUCUGGCGAACAUGGCGACGAAGAAGAGCAAAGACAUCGAUUGGAGUUGCAGAUGCUAUUCCGAUUAAAUUAGGGUUCCAGUCAAACUUCGCCACCCUGAUUUACUAUUGUAUGCUUCAUAUAUGUGUAGAUCCACAAACCCUAAGGCAUUUCAUCAAACAGUUAGAGUGCAUGUUAAAUUAUGUGUGAUGUGUUUAAUCUGUGUGUAGGAGAAAGCUCCUUAUUUUGCAAAGGCAGCUAGAAAGAAAGCAGAGUAUGAAAUUGAUAUUAAACAGCACAUUGAUAAUCUGAACGAAACUGCGAUGGAGAUAUCUAGAACAUCAUCUAUGAACACUAAUGAGGAUGUUGAGCUGGAAGUUAACUCUCAGAUUGUGAAGGUCCUGUGAUAAGUGAAGUGUAGGACGAAGUUCCUUCACUGGAAAAGUUUCCAGAUAUAGAAGGUGGUAAGAUUCCUGGUGAAUUAAUCUUAAGCAACGGAGAUAUAUUGCUUAACGCGGGAAGGGAGGCUGUAAAAAUCAACGUAACUAAUGAUGGAGAUAGACCAAUACAGGUUGGCAGCCAUUAUCAUUUCAUUGAGGUCAAUCCAACUUUGAUUUUUGAUCGAAGAAAAUCAUAUGGCAUGAGGUUAAAUAUACCAGCAGGAACAGCUGCCCGGUUUGAGGAAAUUAUUACUCUGUCCCAAAGGGAACAAAUGUGGGAGCAAAAAAGUAAAGGUACACAUUUGUCAAUAUUUUUAGGUGCACCUGAUGUUGCUUCACCAUCCUCAUAAUUGGAAAGUUUAUACGCCAUUCAAGUUGCGGCUUAAAAGUCAGUAUUGACAGUGAUAUAGAGAAAGGUAACUUUUUUUUUUUUGAAUAGCAAACGGGACUUCAUUUAACCAAACAAAACCGAAAGCUUCCAGCCAGGAACUGAGAGCCAACAACUGUCAAUACAAAAUGAAAGAAAAACAGAACAAGUUUACAUCGAAUUUAUUAUGUGUUGAAAUUGAAAUCCCACCAUUGUUGUCGCGAAAUAGCUUUAAACCUUGAUCUUUCUUUCAUGUAUUGGUAUGAUUCUUCCUUUAUAUCUUCAAUCACACUUUGGAUCA
Molecule: long non-coding RNA, 1193 nt
Organism: Helianthus annuus (common sunflower)
Lineage: Eukaryota; Viridiplantae; Streptophyta; Magnoliopsida; Asterales; Asteraceae
Exons: 7
Source: RefSeq, a predicted model, not a curated record